This 560-nucleotide long non-coding RNA is filed under the name Mytilus galloprovincialis (Mediterranean mussel). Lineage: Eukaryota; Metazoa; Mollusca; Bivalvia; Mytilida; Mytilidae. The record is from RNAcentral.
GUGGGGUUCGUGUUGUUUAUUCUUUAGUUUUCUAUGUUGUGUCAUGUUUACUAUUGUUUUUCUGUUUGUCUUUUUCAUUUUUAGCCAUGGCGUUGUCAGUUUGUUUUAGAUUUAUGAGUUUGACUAUCCCUUUGGUAUCUUUCGUCCCUCUUUUAUAGAUCUUGAAUACAACGACAUUCACUUAUACACUUUUUUACGGAUUAAAAUACAACAUAGCCGUCUAUUUCGAAGCGUUCUAUGGUUGUGUAAUAAUUUUUUAAUACUAAAAACUUUCAAAUGUGUAUUCGGAUGUAAAUUUAUUUUCUAUGAUUUUGUAAUUAAAGUCUGAUCUUUUUCUUUGAAGUGGCUGACCAUAUUCACCCUAAAACUAUUGUGGUAUGGAUUUCAUUCAUUUAUUUACUAAGUGGUUCUGUUCAAAGCAAAGACUUAUGCAACAAAUGAUUUUGUAAAUAAGUCAAGGUCAAUGUACCAUAUAUGGAUAAUUAGUCUUAAGCUAUAUUUUUAUGAAUGACACCUCCAUGCUUUUUAGAAUGUUUUCACUAGCUAUCCUUAAGUGUUCA